RNAcentral lists this ribosomal RNA (332 nucleotides) under uncultured bacterium. RNAcentral describes it as "bacterial SSU rRNA". It matches the Rfam family "Bacterial small subunit ribosomal RNA", at positions 568 to 898 of the family's 1533-position model. The record is from RNAcentral.
GGCGUAGGUGGCCUUUCAAGUCCGAUGUGAAAUCUCCCGGCUUAACUGGGAGGGUGCAUCGGAUACUGUUGGGCUGGAGUGCAGCAGAGGGAGAUGGAAUUCCCGGUGUAGUGGUGAAAUGCGUAGAUAUCGGGAGGAACACUGGUGGCGAAGGCGGUCUCCUGGGAUGCAACUGACACUGAGGCCCGAAGGCGUGGGGAGCAAACAGGAUUAGAUACCCUGGUAGUCCACGCAGUAAACGAUGGGUACUAGGUAUGGGGAGUAUCGACCCUCUCCGUGCCGAAGCUAACGCUUUAAGUACCCCGCCUGGGGAGUACGGUCGCAAGACUAAA